This 465-nucleotide ribosomal RNA is filed under the name uncultured bacterium. RNAcentral describes it as "partial 16S ribosomal RNA". It matches the Rfam family "Bacterial small subunit ribosomal RNA", at positions 28 to 507 of the family's 1533-position model. The record is from RNAcentral.
GACGAACGCUGGCGGCGUGCUUAACACAUGCAAGUCGAACGGAAAGGCCCUGCUUGCAUGGUACUCUAGUGGCGAACGGGUGAGUAACACGUGGGUGAUCUGCCCUGCACUUCGGGAUAAUCCUUGGAAACUGGGUCUAAUACCGGAUAGGAGCCAUUUUUAGUGUGAUGGUUGGAAAGUUUUUUCGGUGUAGGAUGAGCUCGCGGCCUAUCAGCUUGUUGGUGGGGUAAUGGCCUACCAAGGCGGCGACGGGUAGCCGGCCUGAGAGGGUGGACGGCCACAGUGGGAAUGAGAAACGGCCCAGACAGCGACGGGAGGCAGAAGAGGGGAAGAUUGCACAAGGGGCGAAAGCCUGAUGCAGCGACGCCGCGUGGGGGAUGACGGCCUUCGGGUUGUAAAAGCAGUUCGCUAGGGACGAAGCGUUUUGUGACGGUACCUAGAUAAGAAGCACCGGCUAACUACGUG